Molecule: ribosomal RNA, 108 nt
Organism: Chelonoidis abingdonii (Abingdon island giant tortoise)
Lineage: Eukaryota; Metazoa; Chordata; Testudines; Testudinidae
Source: Ensembl
GCCUGUGGCCAUAUUGCCCCUAGCUGUGAUCUUAUCAGAUCUUGCAAGCUCAGGCCUGCUUGGUACAUGGAUAGGAGACCUCCAAGGAGAACCCAGGUGCUGCAGGAA